RNAcentral lists this ribosomal RNA (433 nucleotides) under uncultured Lachnospiraceae bacterium. RNAcentral describes it as "partial 16S ribosomal RNA". It matches the Rfam family "Bacterial small subunit ribosomal RNA", at positions 341 to 792 of the family's 1533-position model. Lineage: Bacteria; Bacillati; Bacillota; Clostridia; Lachnospirales; Lachnospiraceae. The record is from RNAcentral.
ACGGGGGCAGCAGUGGGGAAUAUUGCACAAUGGGGGAAACCCUGAUGCAGCGACGCCGCGUGAGUGAAGAAGUAUUUCGGUAUGUAAAGCUCUAUCAGCAGGGAAGAUAAUGACGGUACCUGACUAAGAAGCACCGGCUAAAUACGUGCCAGCAGCCGCGGUAAUACGUAUGGUGCAAGCGUUAUCCGGAUUUACUGGGUGUAAAGGGAGCGUAGACGGCAUGGCAAGUCUGAAGUGAAAGCCUGGGGCUCAACCCCGGAACUGCUUUGGAAACUGUUAAGCUAGAGUGCAGGAGAGGUAAGUGGAAUUCCUAGUGUAGCGGUGAAAUGCGUAGAUAUUAGGAGGAACACCAGUGGCGAAGGCGGCUUACUGGACUGUAACUGACGUUGAGGCUCGAAAGCGUGGGGAGCAAACAGGAUUAGAUACCCUGGUA